CCUACGGGUGGCAGCAGUGAGGAAUAUUGGUCAAUGGCCGGGAGGCUGAACCAGCCAAGUCGCGUGAGGGAUGACGGCCCUACGGGUUGUAAACCUCUUUUGUCAGGGAGCAAAGUGCGGGACGCGUCCCGCUUUGAGAGUACCUGAAGAAAAAGCAUCGGCUAACUCCGUGCCAGCAGCCGCGGUAAUACGGAGGAUGCGAGCGUUAUCCGGAUUUAUUGGGUUUAAAGGGUGCGCAGUGGGAUGAGCAAGUCAGCGGUAAAAUUGCGGGGCUCAACCUCGUACCGCCGUUGAAACUGUGUCUCUUGAGUGCGCGAGAGGUAGGCGGAAUGCGUGGUGUAGCGGUGAAAUGCAUAGAUAUCACGCAGAACUCCGAUCGCGAAGGCAGCGUACCGACGUGCAACUGACGCUCAUGCACGAAAGCGUGGGUAUCGAACAGGAUUAGAUACCCCAGUAGUC
This 459-nucleotide ribosomal RNA is filed under the name uncultured bacterium. RNAcentral's name for it is "partial 16S ribosomal RNA". It matches the Rfam family "Bacterial small subunit ribosomal RNA", at positions 338 to 795 of the family's 1533-position model. The record is from RNAcentral.